This 685-nucleotide long non-coding RNA is filed under the name Salarias fasciatus (jewelled blenny). RNAcentral's name for it is "lncRNA (ENSSFAG00005010632.1)". Lineage: Eukaryota; Metazoa; Chordata; Actinopteri; Blenniiformes; Blenniidae. The record is from RNAcentral.
CUCUGGUUGAUGUUUUGGUCUCAGUAUAGUUUAGAAAUACCAGCAGAUUUGCUGCAACUUCAAAAUUCGGUCUGCUCAUUCUUCUGUGUGUUGCACAGGUUGUGUAUUUGAACACACACACAGAAGGCGGGGAAAGAGGCAAAUACAGGAUAUGUGUCUUCACGGAGGCAGUGCGUCAUUGUCAGGCACUCUUUUAUCCUCUUAGCUGUUUCACUGUUGUCAUCAGUGGCCUCAUGCUCAGAGAGUGACCCACAGCCUAUUUGUGUUGGAAAUACCUGCUUAGCUGUCACACUUGCUUAUCUGAGGUGGACUGGUAUGCCUGGCACCAUCUGAGCAUUUGAAGAUGAUGCGAUUGCUGUUCCUGUGUCUGCUGCUGCUGCUGCCAGCUGCUGCGGCUGUUUCAGAAGAUGUGGAGGGAUCAGCUACUGGCGAUGUCACUAAUGAUGACGAGGACUAUGGCAGGAAUGGCGAAAUUGGUGGGCUUCCUCCCACCUCAACUGCAGAUAAGGCCACAGGCGUCGGUGAAAACCAGUUAAUGCUGACUGUCAUCAUUGCAGCCGUGGCAGUUGUGGCUCUUUCCAUCGCAGCAAUAGUCACCAUAUUCCUAGUAAGACGCAAAAUGCACAAUCGGCAGCAAGGGAUCUACUCGGUGCCUACAGAACAGGACCAGAAAGGGGCCGUCUAA